Mastomys coucha (southern multimammate mouse) is the source of this 754-nucleotide long non-coding RNA. RefSeq lists it as uncharacterized. The transcript has 2 exons. The record is from RefSeq and is a predicted model, not a curated record. NCBI's taxonomy places the organism in Eukaryota, Metazoa, Chordata, Mammalia, Rodentia, Muridae.
AAACAUUCUGACAGCACUCUAAUGACAGUCACAGAGACUCCAAAUUCCUUUUCUCCGUAGUGGAUAGAUCCCCUUUCCAUCCUUUUGAUCUUCAUCAAAAAACGAAGCCGCAGCCACUGCAGUCCUAUUUACUCCCGCCAUAAGCCCGGCAGCUGUCUGGGAACCACGGGCAUUUUCAAGCUUUGAAGACAAGAGUCUGAUGUUCACACACAAAAGUGUCCUUCUCACAAAGCCACAAACUAAAGCGACUGUUUCUGGUUUUGAAGUAGCGGAAAAACCAUGUGUCAGUUAGGCAUCGCAUGCCUCAUUACACACAUCAGAAUGUGAAAGCGUUUCUAGACCAUGAGUGGCGUUCACUGUAACAAUGUGUGGUUCCACAGCGCUGCUGACAUCCGACUGGACAAGCGCCACUGGUUAAAAUGAGCCGGCACACCAACUCGUGUUUACCGAGCAUCCCUGCACACCAGGCACUGAGUGUCUCCCUGUGUAGCUCUGACUUAUUUGGCACAUUCUAUGUAGACCAGACUGAUUUUGACCCUGCAGCGAUCCUUCCGGCUCUGCUGCCCGGAUGUUGGAGCUACAGAUACUGCACUACAACAUCUCCAUAGGCGUUUUUAUAGUUCAAGGUUCUGCAGCUGAUUGGAUGUCUCCUCUGUUCUUAGCCAUGCAUACUCAUGUUUCUGGGCUCAGGUGGAGAUCUGGUGGUGUUGACUUUGCUGCUCUUGAUUGAAUAAAGAACUAGGUUGUAAACAUU